Pelobates cultripes (western spadefoot toad) is the source of this 214-nucleotide non-coding RNA. The record is from the annotation of a GenBank genome assembly. NCBI's taxonomy places the organism in Eukaryota, Metazoa, Chordata, Amphibia, Anura, Pelobatidae.
GGCCCCUGUGUCGGGUGAUUUUAGCGAGAUUGUGGUCGGCAAUCUGGGAGCUGCGUGAGAUGGCGUCUAUACAGGUUGGUCGUCAGGCUCCGCCCCCAAACUUUGGAUGUUUUAACUCUUUCAUGAAUCCGUGAGUGCUGGUCACCUGUUGCAAAUUGGAUAUUUGAACUUCCCCAGGACUACAAGCACCCGGUAUGUAACCAUUUAGUUAGAG